UACGUAGGGUGCAAGCGUUAAUCGGAAUUACUGGGCGUAAAGCGUGCGCAGGCGGUUAUGUAAGACAGGUGUGAAAUCCCCCGGGCUUAACCUGGGAACUGCAUUUGUGACUGCAUAGCUAGAGUACGGUAGAGGGGGAUGGAAUUCCGCGUGUAGCAGUGAAAUGCGUAGAUAUGCGGAGGAACACCGAUGGCGAAGGCAAUCCCCUGGACCUGUACUGACGCUCAUGCACGAAAGCGUGGGGAGCAAACGGG
This 254-nucleotide ribosomal RNA is filed under the name uncultured bacterium. Its description in RNAcentral is "partial 16S ribosomal RNA". It matches the Rfam family "Bacterial small subunit ribosomal RNA", at positions 524 to 776 of the family's 1533-position model. The record is from RNAcentral.